This 747-nucleotide unclassified non-coding RNA is filed under the name Hevea brasiliensis (rubber tree). The record is from RNAcentral. Lineage: Eukaryota; Viridiplantae; Streptophyta; Magnoliopsida; Malpighiales; Euphorbiaceae.
GGACGAGUCUACUUUUUUCCUCUCAUUCCAACUCAUUGUCAUCUGAAAAAACUCAGGAUAAUUGGUUAAGACUGCAUCAACUAAACAAAAUUUGAUCAUAUUGGGGAAAAUGGGGGCACAUGUAAAAUGGGAUGAGGCAAAUCUGGAAGAAAUUGAGGCAAAUAAGCCAGUGAGGCAGAAAAUAACUGAACCAAAGACACCAUUUCACCGUUCGAUCGACGAUGAUGAUGGAUCUCCAUCUCCGUGGGAUACUAUUGAGGAGGCCAGUGCAUUUGAUGAAGCUUCUUCCAGUGAAAAUAAAUCCCGACAGUCUGGCUGGCCAUCUUCUGACGAUGAGGCUGAUAUCAUGGACCAAGAUGACGAAGAUUCUGGUUCAGAAAGGAGCAGGAGCUUUAGGGAGCAAAGACGAGCACACUAUGACGAAUAUAGGAAAAUCAAAGAACUGCGUAGAGAGGGCUCUUCUCUUGAAGGAGCAUCCGACGAUGAGGUUGAGGAUCUUGAGAAAAGGGAUGGUAGGUCUAAUACAUCAUCGUCAUUGACAUCUGCUGUUGAGGGCAUUGACAUUUCGGAAGGAAGCACAGACGAUUCUAAAUAGUCCUCCACGCCAGCCAAUCGAACAAGGAUUGUCCUGAGUAAGUACAUGUUUUUUCUAAGAAGGUUGUUAUAACAACCUACUGUUCUGUUCUUCAUAUGUUCACUUUUUCUUGUACUGUUAUAAACUAUAGAAUUGUUGUAACACAACACUUU